GACGAACGCUGGCGGCGUGCCUAAUACAUGCAAGUUGAGCGCUGAAGGUUGGUACUUGUCCCAACUGGAUGAGCAGCGAACGGGUGAGUAACGCGUGGGUAAUCUGCCUUUGAGCGGGGGACAACAUUUGGAAACGAAUGCUAAUACCGCAUAAAAACUUUAAACACAAGUUUUAAGUUUGAAAGAUGCAAUUGCAUCACUCAAAGAUGAUCCCGCGUUGUAUUAGCUAGUUGGUGAGGUAAAAGCUCACCAAGGCGAUGAUACAUAGCCGACCUGAGAGGGUGAUCGGCCACAUUGGGACUGAGACACGGCCCAAACUCCUACGGGAGGCAGCAGUAGGGGAACUUCGGCCAUGGACGAAAGUCUGACCGAGCAACGCCGGGUGGGUGAAGAAGGUUUUCGGAUCGUAAAACUCUGUUGGUAGGGAAGAACGUUGGUGAGAGUGAAACGCUCAUCAAGUGACGGUAACUAAAGAGAAAGGGACGGCUAACUACGUG
This 497-nucleotide ribosomal RNA is filed under the name uncultured bacterium. RNAcentral's name for it is "partial 16S ribosomal RNA". It matches the Rfam family "Bacterial small subunit ribosomal RNA", at positions 28 to 507 of the family's 1533-position model. The record is from RNAcentral.